This is a non-coding RNA of Pelodiscus sinensis (Chinese soft-shelled turtle), 348 nucleotides long. NCBI's taxonomy places the organism in Eukaryota, Metazoa, Chordata, Testudines, Trionychidae. The record is from RefSeq and is a predicted model, not a curated record.
CACAAAGGCAAUGUGACUCUUACAACGGCUGUGUGCUGUCGUCACUUAGGCUUUGCUGCUUCAUCCUUGGACAUGCAGGAGGGCCAAACUGUGGUCACAGCUCCGGUGACCAUCUAGAUCUGACCAUGGACCACGUGGAGAAGGCUGGGCAAUAAUUUUUGAUGGAAGGGCCACUCUAAGAUUUUGAUAGUACUGUGGAGCUGUGCCGAUUCUCUCUCCCCCACCCCUGCCACACAACGGGCGGGACCAGCAAGACACGUAAGCACGUGAUUUGCUUUUGGCAUGUGACUGGUCCCAUUGACUUCAAUGAGAAUACUCAUACAUAAAAUGCGGUGUGUGCGUCGCUGG